UUGACCUCAGAUCAGGUAGGACUACCCGCUGAACUUAAGCAUAUCAAUAAGCGGAGGAAAAGAAACUAACAAGGAUUCCCCUAGUAACUGCGAGUGAAGCGGGAAAAGCUCAAAUUUAAAAUCUGGCGGUCCUCUGGCCGUCCGAGUUGUAAUCUGGAGAAGUGUUUUCCGCGUCGGACCGUGUACAAGUCUUCUGGAACGGAGCGUCAUAGAGGGUGAGAAUCCCGUCUCUGACACGGACCGCCGACGCUUUAUGUGAUACGCUCUCGAAGAGUCGAGUUGUUUGGGAAUGCAGCUCAAAAUGGGUGGUAAAUUCCAUCUAAAGCUAAAUACUGGCGAGAGACCGAUAGCGAACAAGUACCGUGAGGGAAAGAUGAAAAGCACUUUGGAAAGAGAGUUAAACAGUACGUGAAAUUGUUGAAAGGGAAACGUUUGAAGUCAGUCGCGUCGGCCGGGACUCAGCCUUGCUAUCUUGCUUGGUGCACUUCUCGGUCGACGGGUCAGCAUCAAUUUUGACCGUCGGAUAAAGGCCGAGGGAACGUGGCAUCCUCCGGGGUGUGUUAUAGCCCUUGGUUCGCAUACGGCGAUCGGGAUUGAGGAACUCAGCGCGCCUUCAUUGGUCGGGGCUUCGCGGCUCACGUUAACGCGCUUAGGAUGCUGGCAUAAUGGCUUUAAGCGACCCGUCUUGAAA
Molecule: ribosomal RNA, 691 nt
Filed under: uncultured fungus
Lineage: Eukaryota; Fungi
Description: eukaryotic LSU rRNA
Rfam family: Eukaryotic large subunit ribosomal RNA
Source: RNAcentral